Molecule: ribosomal RNA, 1367 nt
Filed under: uncultured bacterium
Lineage: Bacteria
Description: 16S ribosomal RNA
Rfam family: Bacterial small subunit ribosomal RNA
Source: RNAcentral
GAGUUUGAUCCUGGCUCAGGACGAACGCUGGCGGCACGCUUAACACAUGCAAGUCGAACGAGAGAAGAGAAGCUUGCUUUUCUGAUCUAGUGGCGGACGGGUGAGUAACACGUGAGCAAUCUGCCUUUCAGAGGGGGAUACCGAUUGGAAACGAUCGUUAAUACCGCAUAAUAUAAUUGAACCGCAUGAUUUGAUUAUCAAAGAUUUAUCGCUGAAAGAUGAGCUCGCGUCUGAUUAGCUAGUUGGUGAGGUAAUGGCCCACCAAGGCAACGAUCGGUAGCCGGACUGAGAGGUUGAACGGCCACAUUGGGACUGAGACACGGCCCAGACUCCUACGGGAGGCAGCAGUGGGGAAUAUUGCACAAUGGGGGAAACCCUGAUGCAGCGACGCCGCGUGGAGGAAGAAGGUCUUCGGAUUGUAAACUCCUGUUGUUGAGGAAGAUAAUGACGGUACUCAACAAGGAAGUGACGGCUAACUACGUGCCAGCAGCCGCGGUAAAACGUAGGUCACAAGCGUUGUCCGGAAUUACUGGGUGUAAAGGGAGCGCAGGCGGGAAGACAAGUUGGAAGUGAAAUCUAUGGGCUCAACCCAUAAACUGCUUUCAAAACUGUUUUUCUUGAGUAGUGCAGAGGUAGGCGGAAUUCCCGGUGUAGCGGUGGAAUGCGUAGAUAUCGGGAGGAACACCAGUGGCGAAGGCGGCCUACUGGGCACCAACUGACGCUGAGGCUCGAAAGUGUGGGUAGCAAACAGGAUUAGAUACCCUGGUAGUCCACACUGUAAACGAUGAUUACUAGGUGUUGGAGGAUUGACCCCUUCAGUGCCGCAGUUAACACAAUAAGUAAUCCACCUGGGGAGUACGACCGCAAGGUUGAAACUCAAAGGAAUUGACGGGGGCCCGCACAAGCAGUGGAGUAUGUGGUUUAAUUCGACGCAACGCGAAGAACCUUACCAAGUCUUGACAUCCUGCGACGGACAUAGAAAUAUGUUUUUCCUUCGGGACGCAGAGACAGGUGGUGCAUGGUUGUCGUCAGCUCGUGUCGUGAGAUGUUGGGUUAAGUCCCGCAACGAGCGCAACCCUUAUGGUCAGUUACUACGCAAGAGGACUCUGGCCAGACUGCCGUUGACAAAACGGAGGAAGGUGGGGAUGACGUCAAAUCAUCAUGCCCUUUAUGACUUGGGCUACACACGUACUACAAUGGCGUUAAACAAAGAGAAGCAAGACCGCGAGGUGGAGCAAAACUCAGAAACAACGUCCCAGUUCGGACUGCAGGCUGCAACUCGCCUGCACGAAGUCGGAAUUGCUAGUAAUCGCAGAUCAGCAUGCUGCGGUGAAUACGUUCCCGGGCCUUGCACACACCGCCCGUCA